UCGGGAAUUUUGGGCAAUGGGCGAAAGCCUGACCCAGCAACGCCGCGUGAAGGAUGAAGUAUUUCGGUAUGUAAACUUCGAAAGAAUAGGAAGAAUAAAUGACGGUACUAUUUAUAAGGUCCGGCUAACUACGUGCCAGCAGCCGCGGUAAUACGUAGGGACCAAGCGUUGUUCGGAUUUACUGGGCGUAAAGGGCGCGUAGGCGGUGUGUCAAGUCAGUUGUGAAAUCUCCGAGCUUAACUCGGAACGGUCAACUGAUACUGUCACACUAGAGUACAGAAGGGGCAAUCGGAAUUCUUGGUGUAGCGGUGAAAUGCGUAGAUAUCAAGAGGAACACCUGAGGCGAAGGCGGGUUGCUGGGCUGAUACUGACGCUGAGGCGCGAAAGCUAGGGUAGCAAACGGGAUUAGAUACCCCCGUAGUCCCUGAGCGGGCUGGCAAGGCGCAU
This 447-nucleotide ribosomal RNA is filed under the name uncultured bacterium. RNAcentral describes it as "bacterial SSU rRNA". It matches the Rfam family "Bacterial small subunit ribosomal RNA", at positions 355 to 825 of the family's 1533-position model. The record is from RNAcentral.